UACGGAGGGUGCAAGCGUUAUCCGGAUUCAUUGGGCGUAAAGGGUGCGUAGGCGGCGCGGUAAGUCGGGUGUGAAAUCUCGGAGCUUAACUCCGAAACUGCAUUCGAUACUGCCGUGCUUGAGGACUGGAGAGGAGACUGGAAUUUACGGUGUAGCGGUGAAAUGCGUAGAUAUCGUAAGGAAGACCAGUGGCGAAGGCGGGUCUCUGGACAGUUCCUGACGCUGAGGCACGAAGGCCAGGGGAGCAAACGGG
Molecule: ribosomal RNA, 253 nt
Filed under: uncultured bacterium
Lineage: Bacteria
Description: partial 16S ribosomal RNA
Rfam family: Bacterial small subunit ribosomal RNA
Source: RNAcentral